Molecule: ribosomal RNA, 741 nt
Filed under: uncultured Clavulinaceae
Lineage: Eukaryota; Fungi; Basidiomycota; Agaricomycetes; Cantharellales; Hydnaceae
Description: eukaryotic LSU rRNA
Rfam family: 5.8S ribosomal RNA (bases 200-353)
Source: RNAcentral
UGAUGCUGGUGAGGAGUCCUUCUCUUUGCAUUGUGCUCGCCUCCUACAAUUUCUAUCCAAACACCUGUGCACCCAUUUGUGAGAGGGUGUUCCGGACNUCUAUCCCAUAGAUGCACUGGAAAUGUCCCUUUCCUCAUAAAUUUAUACACUGCUUUACAAUGUUGAACGUGUCUGUGCCGAUAGGCCAUAAUAAAAUUACAACUUUUAACAACGGAUCUCUUGGCUCUCGCAUCGAUGAAGAACGCAGCGAAAUGCGAUAAGUAAUGUGAAUUGCAGAAUUCAGUGAAUCAUCGAAUCUUUGAACGCACCUUGCGCUCCCUGGUAUUCCUAGGAGCAUGCCUGUUCGAGUGUCGUGAAAUUCUCAAAUCCGAGAUUGCUUUCCUCACGAAAGUGGUUUCAGAUUUGGUUUUGGACUUUGCUGUGUCCCUUCAUUGGGAAUGGCUUGUCUUAAAAGCAUUAGCGUGCCUAAUGUAGAGAUUGGUUCUACUCUGCGUAAUAAAUCAUUUGAUCGCAGAGGACAUCUUUCAUGGGAUGGCCAGUAUCUAUUUGGGUUGCUUCUAAUAUUGUGCUGRAGUGGAUCUUUGUCUGCUCUCACAUUUUUCAAGUUUGACCUCGAAUCAGGUGGGACUACCCGCUGAACUUAAGCAUAUCAAUAAGCGGAGGAAAAGAAACUAACAAGGAUUCCCCUAGUAACGGCGAGUGAAGCGGGAAAGCUCAAUUUAAAUCUGACAGUCUUCGAUG